Molecule: ribosomal RNA, 347 nt
Filed under: uncultured bacterium
Lineage: Bacteria
Description: partial 16S ribosomal RNA
Rfam family: Bacterial small subunit ribosomal RNA
Source: RNAcentral
CCUACGGGAGGCAGCAGUGAGGAAUAUUGGUCAAUGGCCGGAAGGCUGAACCAGCCAUGCCGCGUGAAGGGCAGGGCCCUAUGGGCGUUAAACUUCUUUUGUGCGGGAGCAAGAAUGGUCACGUGUGGCCAGACGAGAGUACCGUACGAAGAAGCAGCGGCUAACUCCGGGCCAGCAGCCGCGGUAAGACGGGGGAUGCAAGCGUUCUCCGGAUUUAGUGGGGUUCAAGGGUGCGUAGGCUGUGCGGUCAGUCAGCGGGGAAUUGCCCCCGCUCAACGGGGUGAAGUGCCAUUGAUACUGCCUUGCUUGACUGCGGAUGCCGUGGGCGGAAUGUGUGGUGUAGCGGU